CUAACAUUGCUAAUCAUGUGUCAAAUUGAAUGAAUUUUAGAAAUGCAACAACUCUUCUGGUGUGUGGUGAUCAAUGUGGUCUUACCUGAAAGUUUGGGUAAGAUGGAAAAAUAUAAUGCCAAAUAUUUUCUACAUUUUAGAGUUCUUGAGUAUUGGUGAACUACAAUGAAGGAGGGAUGGAGAAGAAGACACAAUCACAGACAGGGUGUGCUAUGGGCCAGAUUUCUUUAGGCCCCUCUCUACAAGAUCUGAAUUGGAGAAUAAGUUCUGGGUCUGCCACUUGAUUGCUCAGUGACCUCGGAUGUUGGUGCUGCCUUCUCCAGAGGGCAUUAUAGAGUCUUUAUCUAGAUUGAGGUCUCAAUCUUCAAUUGAGAAUUAAUCAACUGUACUACUAGGUCAAUCAGUGUUGCUACUUCUCUUCCUAAUUGCUGUGACGCUCAUCUGUAUGAUAUUGGAACUGCCGCUGCCGCUGGAAACCAAGGACCUCUCCUCUGUUACAUCUCUCAAUUACUCCUGCCUUUUUGCUGCUGCCUUUUCUUCUACCACACGGCUGCACCAGUUUGCAUUCCCACCAGCAGUGUACGAAGGAAUUUUUAAGCGUUGGCAGUUGGUCUAAAAAUUUUUAAACACUGUAUGAAUCCAGUAAAACAUCUGUGGAUUGGAUAAAACCUUAAGACCACCAAAGCUGACUUGUGAUGUGGGAAAAGUCAUUCCAAACAAAAGCAAUAACUUGUCUAAAGGAGUGAGAGAAUAUUCACGAUCUACCAGUCAUUGAAAUGAAGAAUGUUUCUUGAGGAGCUAAAACUGGAAAGUUUCCCUAACUAAAAAGAGUCCAAACCAAAAGAGAUGCAGAACAGAAGCAAAAUACAAGGUCAUAGCUCCAUGUUUGCAGUGUAGAAAGCAUCCUUAAUCCUCUGGGUGACUGCAGAAAUUGUUCCAGGAGUGAACACAGGUUGAAUUCUUCAGGAGCAGUUGCCAGGACAGAGUUUGGAGACACGAUGUUUAUUAGAGAAAAGGAGAGGAAGCAAUUGCGCCGUGAUGCAGGAAGCUGUGGACUUAUAAUCAGUGGGACUCUGCUAUAUCCCUGGGGAAAUUGUGCCCUCUUUUGAGAAUCGAAUGUCUAACCAUGCAGAGCCCAGAGUUGCAGAAAUAGAGAGCACAGAAGACCCCAGUAGAUCAUUGAGAAUAAUGUUUCUGCUGUUUUCAUCUUGGAGCCCGGAGCAUCCAUGUGAGAAGUAUGACCACCCUGCUGCAGAGAUGUGUGGAGAAAAAAAUCUAACUUAUCCAUCAUCAUGGGAUUGAUAUAAGCUCUACUCCAACCUGUUCUAAGUCAAAAGUCUGGACCCUACAGAAACUGGAAGGAUCCAAGAGGAGGACUGUAGACUAUCAAGGAUUUCAACAAGUAGUAGCCUCGAUUGCAACUGCUGUGCUGGACAUGGUAUCCUUGUUGGAGCAGAUUAAUAUGGCCUCAGGUACAUGAUAAGGAGCUGACGUACAGUAUUUAAAGAUCUUGCCCAAGAUUGCACAACUAGAAAGUAGAAAACUUUACACACCAAACCAGGAAGGCUGAACCUGGAGCCCACACCCUGAGCCACCCAUCUUAACUC
Equus caballus (horse) is the source of this 1607-nucleotide long non-coding RNA. Lineage: Eukaryota; Metazoa; Chordata; Mammalia; Perissodactyla; Equidae. The record is from Ensembl.